RNAcentral lists this ribosomal RNA (253 nucleotides) under uncultured bacterium. RNAcentral's name for it is "partial 16S ribosomal RNA". It matches the Rfam family "Bacterial small subunit ribosomal RNA", at positions 524 to 776 of the family's 1533-position model. The record is from RNAcentral.
UACGUAGGGAGCAAGCGUUGUUCGGAAUUACUGGGCGUAAAGGGCGCGUAGGCGGCCCGCUAAGUCGAACGUGAAAUCCCCGAGCUCAACUCGGGAACUGCGUCCGAUACUGGCGGGCUUGAAUCCGGGAGAGGGAUGCGGAAUUCCAGGUGUAGCGGUGAAAUGCGUAGAUAUCGGGAGGAACACCGGUGGCGAAGGCGGCGAUCUGGGUAGAUACUGACGCUGAGGUGCGAAAGCGUGGGGAGCAAACAGG